UACGUAGGUGGCAAGCGUUGUUCGGAAUUAUUGGGCGUAAAGCGCGCGUAGGCGGGUCUUUAAGUGAGGGGUGAAAGGUUCGGGCUCAACCCGGACACUGCCUUUCAUACUGGGGAUCUUGAGUGCGGGAGGGGCGAGUGGAAUGGUCGGUGUAGCGGUGAAAUGCGUAGAUAUCGAUCGGAACACCCAUGGCGAAGGCAGCUCGCUGGCCUGCAACUGACGCUGAGGCGCGAAAGCGUGGGGAGCAAACAGG
This 253-nucleotide ribosomal RNA is filed under the name uncultured bacterium. Its description in RNAcentral is "partial 16S ribosomal RNA". It matches the Rfam family "Bacterial small subunit ribosomal RNA", at positions 524 to 776 of the family's 1533-position model. The record is from RNAcentral.